Molecule: ribosomal RNA, 524 nt
Filed under: Epicoccum nigrum
Lineage: Eukaryota; Fungi; Ascomycota; Dothideomycetes; Pleosporales; Didymellaceae
Description: eukaryotic LSU rRNA
Rfam family: 5.8S ribosomal RNA (bases 153-306)
Source: RNAcentral
GAUCAUUACCUAGAGUUUGUAGACUUCGGGUCUGCUACCUCUUACCCAUGUCUUUUGAGUACCUUCGUUUCCUCGGCGGGUCCGCCCGCCGAUUGGACAACAUUCAAACCCUUUGCAGUUGCAAUCAGCGUCUGAAAAAACAUAAUAGUUACAACUUUCAACAACGGAUCUCUUGGUUCUGGCAUCGAUGAAGAACGCAGCGAAAUGCGAUAAGUAGUGUGAAUUGCAGAAUUCAGUGAAUCAUCGAAUCUUUGAACGCACAUUGCGCCCCUUGGUAUUCCAUGGGGCAUGCCUGUUCGAGCGUCAUUUGUACCUUCAAGCUCUGCUUGGUGUUGGGUGUUUGUCUCGCCUCUGCGUGUAGACUCGCCUUAAAACAAUUGGCAGCCGGCGUAUUGAUUUCGGAGCGCAGUACAUCUCGCGCUUUGCACUCAUAACGACGACGUCCAAAAGUACAUUUUUACACUCUUGACCUCGGAUCAGGUAGGGAUACCCGCUGAACUUAAGCAUAUCAAUAAGCGGAGGAA